Magnolia sinica is the source of this 545-nucleotide long non-coding RNA. RefSeq lists it as uncharacterized. The transcript has 3 exons. Lineage: Eukaryota; Viridiplantae; Streptophyta; Magnoliopsida; Magnoliales; Magnoliaceae. The record is from RefSeq and is a predicted model, not a curated record.
CUCUCUCCCUCCUCUCUCUUCCUUGCUCGAUCCUGUUGCCGACCGUCCUACCCACGCACGCCCUCUCGCUCUCUCUGAAUCUGUGGUUGAAGGAUUAAAUCUCCAGCAACACUGAGGGGCAUUUUGAUGAUGUUCAAAGGGCACCUAGUUUGCCAUCUAAAGCACCAAAAGAACUCAAAGAGCUGAGAGAUCGUCAGUGAAGAACAAGUGAUGUUCCAAUGCAUUCUAUGUAACUCGCUGAUUGUCACGGGUUCCAAAUUUUCUGUCUCAGAAGUUGGAGGUUUUUUCACGCAAAAGCUAAGUCAAUGGAAGGUAGGCUCAUGGAUUGCAUAAUUCUCCAACCGGAUUUUGGCAGCAUUUCAGGAUUUCGGCAUUAUGCUCAGGUGAUUAGGCUAGCACUUGAUAUAUUAACAGAGUCGUUGCUAUUUUUAGGAAGCAAUCUUCUGUUCAUGUUAUUGAAAUUUAGGCCUGUUUGGGUGCUGCUUGAAAAUAACUUUGAACUCAUUUUAGUUAAUGGUGAUAAUGUUUCAGAACAUGAAAUUCAU